UACGUAGGUGGCAAGCGUUGUCCGGAUUUAUUGGGUUUAAAGGGUGCGUAGGUGGUCAAUUAAGUCAGUGCUGAAAUCUCCCGGCUUAACCGGGAGGGUGGCAUUGAUACUGCGGGGCUAGAGUACAGAUGAGGUAGGCGGAAUUGACGGUGUAGCGGUGAAAUGCUUAGAUAUCGUCAAGAACACCUAUAGCGAAGGCAGCUUACUAGGCUGUAACUGACGCUGAGGCACGAAAGUGUGGGGAUCAAACAGG
This 253-nucleotide ribosomal RNA is filed under the name uncultured bacterium. Its description in RNAcentral is "partial 16S ribosomal RNA". It matches the Rfam family "Bacterial small subunit ribosomal RNA", at positions 524 to 776 of the family's 1533-position model. The record is from RNAcentral.